Molecule: ribosomal RNA, 584 nt
Filed under: Ptyas nigromarginata
Lineage: Eukaryota; Metazoa; Chordata; Lepidosauria; Squamata; Colubridae
Description: partial small subunit ribosomal RNA
Rfam family: Bacterial small subunit ribosomal RNA (bases 1-380)
Source: RNAcentral
ACCCCACUAUCAACCCAACCCUCCCUAGCCUACAGUCUAUAUACCGCCGUCGCCAGCCUACCUUAUGAGAGAAACAAAGUAAGCUAAAUAGUCAUACACUAACACGACAGGUCGAGGUGUAACUUAUGAGAGGGCCUAAGAUGGGCUACAUUUUCUAACUCAGAAAACACGAAUAAACAAUGAAAUAAGGAAACUGAAGGCGGAUUUAGCAGUAUACUAAGAACAAAAUACCUAGUCGAAAUCAACGCAAUGAGGUGCGCACACACCGCCCGUCAUCCCUGUCAACCAACCAAAAACAUUCAUAAUUAAAUACCAACCUAAAACAGGGCAAGUCGUAACAAGGUAAGCGUACUGGAAAGUGCGCUUAGAAACAAAAAGUAGCUUACAAAAAGCAUUCGACCUACAAUCGAACGACAUUAUAUUAAUCUUUUUGAGCUAAAACUCAGACUUACACGAACAUACAAAUUUUAGCCAAACAAAACAUUUGACCUACCCAGUAGAUGCGAUCGAACAGUAAAUAAACCAUAUAGUACCGCAAGGGAAACAAUUUAAGCAAUAAACAGCAAAGACUAACCCUUGUACCU